Molecule: long non-coding RNA, 1011 nt
Filed under: Sorghum bicolor (sorghum)
Lineage: Eukaryota; Viridiplantae; Streptophyta; Magnoliopsida; Poales; Poaceae
Description: long non-coding RNA (SBIC_LNC018835)
Source: RNAcentral
GUUCAGGUUUAGAGCAAAUCUUAAUUAAUAACAGUCAUGACGAAACUUGAGAGAGAUAUCAAUUUUGAGAACUAGUCAUGGCAGAGCAACUAUUUAUGAUUUCCAUGUGAGAGCUUAUCAUGAGGGUUCAUAGCAGACUUUAUUUAUUUAUUUAUUUAGCAAACUAAGCAAAGAUAUAUAUAAGCACAAAAUCUUUAUUUGGGUUUCUAUGAUUAUGCAUCUUUUCAUUAUUAGAGUAAAGUAUAAACAUAAGUAGAAUACUUAGUUGGAUAAAUGGGGGUGCUCUCCCCCAAGCUGGAUUUUGACGUAGUUUCUUCUAAUGUAGGUAGCAAGUGGUGGAGGUGUAUUUGAAUGUCAGCAGUGUAACGUCCCGCCUCCACAAGGCCGGGCCCGCUUAUAUCUGGCAGCUUUUCUAGGAUAUAGUCAGUCCCCACAGAACAACACUUCGUCUUUUCUGCACACUUUGUCCUCACUCGCGCGCACCCGGGAAGUACUUCCCGGUCGGUCACCCAUCCCUAAAUUGCUCUAGGCCAAGCACGCUUAACUUUAGAGUUCUUUCGAGAUGGGCUUCCGGAAAAGAAGUUGUAACUUAUUGGUAUGAGUCUCAUAUUAAUCCUAUUAAGCCCUGGGCCGGGUGUUACAUCCUCACCCCCUUAAGAGAUCGACGUCCUCGUCGAUCAACACCAAGCUAGGAACAUCCCCUCUUGGCCACGUCCGUGCAUCCAGUGCCAGCGCAUAUGCCAUGCUGUGUGACCACUUCGGAUCCACACCAGCCAUGCACACCAUGCCUGCGCAACUGCGACACACGCGCCCGUGAAACCGCGAGGGUCGGCUCUGAUACCAUUCUGUAACGUCCCGCCUCCACAAGGCCAGGCCCGCUUACAUUUGGCAGCUUUUCUAGGAUAUAGUCAGUCCCCACAGACCAACACUUCGUCUUUUCUGCGCACUUUGUCCUCACUCGCGCGCACCCGGGAAGUACUUCCCGGUCGGUCACCCAUCCCUAAAUUGCUC